RNAcentral lists this ribosomal RNA (414 nucleotides) under uncultured microorganism. RNAcentral describes it as "bacterial SSU rRNA". It matches the Rfam family "Archaeal small subunit ribosomal RNA", at positions 459 to 872 of the family's 1478-position model. The record is from RNAcentral.
CAGCAGCCGCGGUAAUACCGGCGGCCCGAGUGGCGGCCACUAUUAUUGGGCCUAAAGCGUCCGUAGCCGGGCUGGUAAGUCCCCCGGGAAAUCUGGCGGCUUAACCGUCAGAAUUCCGGGGGAUACUGCCAGCCUAGGGACCGGGAGAGGCCGGGGGAAUUCCCGGGGUAGGGGUGAAAUCCUAUAAUCCCGGGAGGACCACCUGUGGCGAAGGCGCCCGGCUGGAACGGGCCCGACGGUGAGGGACGAAGGCCAGGGGAGCGAACCGGAUUAGAUACCCGGGUAGUCCUGGCGGUAAACGAUGCGGGCUAGGUGUCGGGCCAGCCACGAGCUGGCCCGGUGCCGGAGGGAAGCCGUUAAGCCCGCCGCCUGGGGAGUACGGCCGCAAGGCUGAAACUUAAAGGAAUUGGCGGG